Molecule: ribosomal RNA, 200 nt
Filed under: uncultured bacterium
Lineage: Bacteria
Description: partial 16S ribosomal RNA
Rfam family: Bacterial small subunit ribosomal RNA
Source: RNAcentral
AACGAACGCUGGCGGCAGGCUUAACACAUGCAAGUCGAACGCCCCGCAAGGGGAGUGGCAGACGGGUCAGUAACGCGUGGGAAUCUACCUAGUUCUACGGAACAACAGUUGGAAACGACUGCUAAUACCGUAUACGCCCUACGGGGGAAAGAUUUAUCGGAAUUAGAUGAGCCCGCGUAAGAUUAGCUAGUUGGUGAGGU